Long non-coding RNA from Equus asinus (donkey), 1729 nucleotides. NCBI's taxonomy places the organism in Eukaryota, Metazoa, Chordata, Mammalia, Perissodactyla, Equidae. The record is from Ensembl.
CGCGUAUCCACUGGCCUGCUUCUCCCCACAAACCGUCACGUCACACACGGGCUGCCCCACACCUCACACUCGGAGCAGUACGCAGGGCACGUAUGACAAGUCACGUCCCACAGCCACAAAAACUCACAGACGAGGGUCCGGUCCUAGGCCGCCUGACGAGGCCAAAGUUGAGGGGUCGAAAGGCCGGGCUGCAGGCAUAACUGGAGCCAAGUACCGAACUACACAUCCCAGAAGCCACUGCUGCCGGAGUCCAAUCACAGCCCGGAUCCGUCUUCCCAGCAUCCCUUGGGCGACCGGCCCUUUAGAAUGGGCGGGCCGUGGCUCCUUCGCCUCUGGACCAUAUUUCCCAGAAGGGACUGCGGGUCCCUGUGGGUCUGGCGCCUCCGGGUUCCUCAGGCUGGGCCGGAGACUGAGCUCCAGGCGUCCGGGGCGGGACCCAUGCGGCGUCUCUGCGCCAUCUUGCGUCAGAGCGAUUGUCGCGUGUGAGGGCGAGCGGGAGGCCCUUCCGGUCCGCAGCGCGGGAGCUCCUUGGCCAACACGAUUGGGUAUCCCAAUGGGAGAAAAUGGAAAAAUUUAUAAACAAAGAUCCUGAGGACCCCAGCUUCCAAGAUGACUGGAAAUGUAAAGGCACAUUCAAGAGACAACAAAGAAAUAGGAAGGAAAUUCCAGUCAAGUCAUACUCACCCGUGAAGAAAUACCCACUUGGAGACAGCAAACAUCCCAUAACGUGCUUCAGAAAGUUCUAUCUGGAAGUAGGCCCUAUGUGUGUAUUGAAUUUACAAAAGGUUUUUGGCAGAAGAAAUCUCUUAAUCAUCAGAAAACUCAUACUAGUGAGGAAUAUUACAAAUGCAAGCAAUGUGGGAAGGACAUUCUGAUCUUCCUCAACAUCAAGGGAUUCAUACUGGGGAAAGACCCUGUGAAUGUAAAGAAUGUGGAAAGGGCUUUAGUUCUGUAUCACUCUUUACCCAACAACAGAGAAGUCAUGCUGGUGAGAAACUCUGUAAAUGUAGGGUUGUGGAAAAACCUUUAUUUGGCUCUCACAACUUAAUAUACAUCAUAGAACUCACAUUGGUGAAAAGACUUAUCAAUGUAUUGAAUGUAGAAAAGCUUUUAAAGGUCACUUAUCACUAAUUACUCAACAUCAAAGAAUUCAUGCUGGAGAAAAACCCUAUGAUGUAAGGAAUAUGGAAGGGCCUUUAGAGGUAUCACACGACUUAAGGAACAUUGAAGAAUCCAUACCAGUGAGAAGCCAUAUAAACGCAAUGAACAUGGAAAGGCCUUCAGUUGUCAUUCACAUCUUCCUCAACAUCAAAGAAAUCUUAUAAAUCUAAGGUUUGUGGGAAGGCCUUUAGACAGGGCUCACAGCUUAACCAUCAGCAGAGAAUUCAUACUGGUGAGAAACCACAUAAAUGUGAUGAACGUGGAAAAGACUUUGGUUGGAUUUCGCAAUUUAAUGUACAUAUUAGCAACCACAUUAGUGAGAACCUGUGUCAGUGUACUGAAUGUGGAAAAGCCUUUAGUCACUUAACAUUAGCUAUGCAACAUCAGAGAAUUCAUACUGGUGAGAAAUCCAAUGAAUGUAAGGCAUGUGGGAAAGCCUUUAUGAUUAUCUCAUACCUUAUCCAGCAUCAAAGAAUUCACACUGUUGAGAAAUCCUAUAAAUGCAGUGAAUGUGGAAAGGCCUUCAAUCAUCGUUCAUAUCUUCCUAAAUGUCAGAGAAUCCAUACUG